AUAUUUAAAGUUUUUGUUGCUUUUUUUUUUUUUUUUUUUUUUUUAUAUUUUACAUCCCUUUCCAAUCAGGGAGAUUAAUAAGGGGUGGGGUCAGUUCCAACCACAGUCUGCACACACCUGUAAAGGGGGCCGGAUGGGGAUAGCCAGGACAGGUCCAAUACCCCAAAAAUUUUUUCAGGAAAUACCAAACCUGGGAUGCAAACCCAGGUCAUCCUGCAUGACAUGUCGAUAUCAUUACCAUGUGGCCACCUGGAAGCAAUACUUACCUAGCUACUGCAGCCAUGUGUGAACUAAGGAAAAUCCUCAAGUGCGACUUUUUUAUGGCUCUCAACAUCGGAUCUGUGUUAAUGUUUGGAUCACAAUUCUUGACAAUUUUUUUUAUCAGCCCAUAUGUAUUUCCUCCCUGCAUAAACUCUUGGAUAUGUAUCUCUUGCCUAAUUUCAAUUAUCUACACACAUACACAGCCACAUGGUCAAUAAAUAAAAAUUGCACAUAUGCAAUUAUUUUUUCAAAUUUCAAAUGUGAC
This 526-nucleotide long non-coding RNA is filed under the name Androctonus crassicauda. Lineage: Eukaryota; Metazoa; Arthropoda; Arachnida; Scorpiones; Buthidae. The record is from RNAcentral.